AGAGUUUGAUCAUCGGCUCAGAAUCAACGCUGGCGGCGUGCCUCAGACAUGCAAGUCGAACGCGAAAGUUUCCUUCGGGGAACAAGUAGAGUGGCGCACGGGUGAGUAACACGUAGGUAAUCUACCUUUGGAUGGGGAAUAACAACCGGAAACGGUUGCUAAUACCGCAUAAUGCAGCGGCACCUAAUGGUGACAGUUGUUAAAGCGGGGGAUCGAAAGACCUCGCGUCUGAAGAGGAGCCUGCGGCGGAUUAGCUAGUUGGUAAGGUAACGGCUUACCAAGGCCACGAUCCGUAGCCGGCCUGAGAGGGCGGUCGGCCACACUGACACUGACAUACGGGUCAGACUCCUACGGGAGGCAGCAGUCGGGAAUUUUGGGCAAUGGGCGCAAGCCUGACCCAGCAACGCCGCGUGAAGGAUGAAAUCCCCCGGGAUGUAAACUUCGCAAGAACGGGAAGAAUAAGUAGGGGCCAAUACCCUCUAUGAUGACGGUACCGUUUGUAAGCUCCGGCUAACUCCGUGCCAGCAGCCGCGGUAAUACGGGGGGAGCAAGCGUUGUUCGGAUUUACUGGGCGUAAAGGGCGCGUAGGCGGUCAGCACAAGUCAGUUGUGAAAUCUCCGAGCUUAACUCGGAAAGGUCAACUGAUACUGUGCGACUAGAGUGCAGAAGGGGCAACUGGAAUUCUUGGUGUAGCGGUGAAAUGCGUAGAUAUCAAGAGGAACACCUGCGGCGAAGGCGGGUUGCUGGGCUGACACUGACGCUGAAGCGCGAAAGCCAGGGGAGCGAACGGGAUUAGAUACCCCGGUAGUCCUGGCCUUAGACGAUGGGUACUAGGCUGUGGGCUUGACAUGGGCUCCCAGCCGAAGCAAAAGUGUUAAGUACCCCGCCUGGGGAGUAUGGUCGCAAGGCUGAAACUCAAAGGAAUUGACGGGGGCUCACACAAGCGGUGGAGCAUGUGGCUUAAUUCGAGGCUACGCGAAGAACCUUAUCCUGGGCUUGACAUGUGCGAAAGCGGUGGGUGUUGUAGCUGCCGGAAACGGCCAGCGAACCCGCAAGGGGGACCCACUACAGGUGCUGCAUGGCUGUCGUCAGCUCGUGUCGUGAGAUGUCGGGUUAAGUCCCAUAACGAGCGAAACCCUUGUCUCCAGUUGCCAGCGGGUCAAGCCGGGGACUCUGGAGAGACUGCCGGUGUUAAACCGGAGGAAGGCGGGGAUGACGUCAAGUCCUCAUGGCCUUUAUGCCCAGGGCUGCACACGUGCUACAAUGGCGUGAACAAAGGGACGCAAAGUCGCGAGACCCAGCAAAUCCCAAAAAACACGCCCCAGUUCAGAUCGGAGGCUGCAACUCGCCUCCGUGAAGUUGGAAUCGCUAGUAAUCGCGGGUCAGCAACACCGCGGUGAAUGUGUUCCUGAGCCUUGUACACACCGCCCGUCAAGCCACGAAAGGGAGGGGCGCCCGAAGACGCCUUCACCGGCGGCUACGGCGAACUUCCUGAUUGGGACUAAGUCGUAACAAGGUAACCGUA
Molecule: ribosomal RNA, 1525 nt
Filed under: uncultured bacterium
Lineage: Bacteria
Description: bacterial SSU rRNA
Rfam family: Bacterial small subunit ribosomal RNA
Source: RNAcentral